Long non-coding RNA from Orcinus orca (killer whale), 631 nucleotides. RefSeq lists it as uncharacterized. Lineage: Eukaryota; Metazoa; Chordata; Mammalia; Artiodactyla; Delphinidae. The record is from RefSeq and is a predicted model, not a curated record. The transcript has 5 exons.
GAGAACGAGGUCCGGAAUCCCGGGUCUGGGGUCCUGGCCGGGAGGGUUCAGGCCUGGCUCCUGGGGUCCUGGCUUCGAGCAGGGAGGUGGCCCGGGGACCGGUUUUCGCGCUGGCUCUGCGCGGUGUCUGUCAUCUCGGCCAGGAGUUGCACCCAUACCUCCCAUAAAGGCCUCAAUAUCCCUACCCUAAAAUGGAAGAGUAAGGAGGAUAAAUCACAGAUCUGCCACUCAGUAGCUAUAUUACAUUGGUAGGUUCUUCAAUAAUUGAUGGUGAUGAUGAUGGAAAUGGUCUUCCCUGGAUGGAACGUCAUACAUGCUGUUUGAUGACUCAUCAAAAGAGAAGAUCACAGGUGCCUGCAUAAAAGACCUCUCACCGCUGUGGCCUCUCCCGUUGCAGAGCACAGGCUCCGGACGCACAGGCUCAGCGGCCAUAGCUCACGGGCCCAGCCGCUCCGCAGCAUGUGGGAUCCUCCCGGACCAGGGCACGAACCCGUGUCCCCUGAAUCGGCAGGCGGACUCUCAACCACUGCGCCACCAGGGAAGCCCUCAUUCGUUAACUCUUUACUCUUCUACUUUGAUUUUUAAACAUUUUCACAAUUCUGAUUAAGCCAAAUAAACUUUCCUUUUACAA